CUACGGAGGGUGCAAGCGUUACUCGGAAUCACUGGGCGUAAAGCGCGCGUAGGCGGUUUAGUCAGUCAGAUGUGAAAGCCCCGGGCUCAACCUGGGAACUGCAUUUGAUACUGCUGAACUAGAGUAUGGUAGAGGGAAGUGGAAUUCCGGGUGUAGCGGUGAAAUGCGUAGAUAUCCGGAGGAACACCAGUGGCGAAGGCGACUUCCUGGACCAAUACUGACGCUGAGGUGCGAAAGCGUGGGUAGCAAACAGGAUUAGAUACCCCGGUAGUCC
Molecule: ribosomal RNA, 274 nt
Filed under: uncultured bacterium
Lineage: Bacteria
Description: partial 16S ribosomal RNA
Rfam family: Bacterial small subunit ribosomal RNA
Source: RNAcentral